GAUGAACGCUGGCGGCGUGCUUAACACAUGCAAGUCGAACGGUGAAGCAGAGCUUGCUCUGUGGUUCAGUGGCGAACGGGUGAGUAACACGUGAGCAACCUGCCCCUGACUCUGGGAUAAGCGCUGGAAACGGCGCCUAAUACUGGCUAUGAGCUGCGACCGCAUGGUCAGCUGUUGGAAAGAUUUUUCGGUCUGGGAUGGGCUCACGGCCUAUCAGCUUGUUGGUGAGGUAAUGGCUCACCAAGGCGUCGACGGGUAGCCGGCCUGAGAGGGUGACCGGCCACACUGGGACUGAGACACGGCCCAGACUCCUACGGGAGGCAGCAGUGGGGAAUAUUGCACAAUGGGCGAAAGCCUGAUGCAGCAACGCCGCGUGAGGGAUGACGGCCUUCGGGUUGUAAACCUCUUUUAGCAGGGAAGAAGCGAAAGUGACGGUACCUGCAGAAAAAGCGCCGGCUAACUACGUG
This 467-nucleotide ribosomal RNA is filed under the name uncultured bacterium. RNAcentral describes it as "partial 16S ribosomal RNA". It matches the Rfam family "Bacterial small subunit ribosomal RNA", at positions 28 to 507 of the family's 1533-position model. The record is from RNAcentral.